AUGAACGCUGGCGGCGUGCCUAAUACAUGCAAGUCGAGCGAACAGACGAGGAGCUUGCUCCUCUGACGUUAGCGGCGGACGGGUGAGUAACACGUGGAUAACCUACCUAUAAGACUGGGAUAACUUCGGGAAACCGGGGCUAAUACCGGAGAAUAUAUUGAACCGCAUGGUUCAAUAGUGAAAGACGGUUUUGCUGUCACUUAUAGAUGGAUCCGCGCCGCAUUAGCUAGUUGGUAAGGUAACGGCUUACCAAGGCGACGAUGCGUAGCCGACCUGAGAGGGUGAUCGGCCACACUGGAACUGAGACACGGUCCAGACUCCUACGGGAGGCAGCAGUAGGGAAUCUUCCGCAAUGGGCGAAAGCCUGACGGAGCAACGCCGCGUGAGUGAUGAAGGUCUUCGGAUCGUAAAACUCUGUUAUUAGGGAAGAACAAAUGUGUAAGUAACUAUGCACGUCUUGACGGUACCUAAUCAGAAAGCCACGGCUAACUACGUG
Molecule: ribosomal RNA, 496 nt
Filed under: uncultured bacterium
Lineage: Bacteria
Description: partial 16S ribosomal RNA
Rfam family: Bacterial small subunit ribosomal RNA
Source: RNAcentral